RNAcentral lists this transfer RNA (65 nucleotides) under Cophotis ceylanica. RNAcentral describes it as "tRNA-Tyr". Lineage: Eukaryota; Metazoa; Chordata; Lepidosauria; Squamata; Agamidae. The record is from RNAcentral.
CGACCAGGGGGCUUUUUCCCCAUAAAUGAGUUUACAAUUCACCGCCUAAAUUCAGCCACCUGACC